Molecule: ribosomal RNA, 406 nt
Filed under: uncultured bacterium
Lineage: Bacteria
Description: bacterial SSU rRNA
Rfam family: Bacterial small subunit ribosomal RNA
Source: RNAcentral
UCGGGAAUAUUGCACAAUGGAGGGAACUCUGAUGCAGUGACGCCGCGUGCAGGAAGAAGGUUUUCGGAUUGUAAACUGCUUUAGAUAGGGAAGAAGAAAAGACAGUACCUAUAGAAUAAGCUCCGGCUAACUACGUGCCAGCAGCCGCGGUAAUACGUAGGGAGCGAGCGUUAUCCGGAAUUAUUGGGUGUAAAGGGUGCGUAGACGGGAACUUAAGUUAGUUGUGAAAUCCCUUAGCUCAACUAAGGAAUGGCAACUGAAACUGGGUUUCUUGAGUGCAGGAGAGGAAAGUGGAAUUCCUAGUGUAGCGGUGGAAUGCGUAGAUAUUAGGAGGAACACCGGUGGCGAAGGCGACUUUCUGGACUGUAACUGACGUUGAGGCACGAAAGUGUGGGGAGCAAACAGG